CAGCCGCCGCGGGAAUACGAAGGGUGCAAGCGUUAAUCGGAAUUACUGGGCAUAAAGCGUGCGCAGGCGGUGAUGUAAGACAGAUGUGAAAUCCCCGGGCUCAACCUGGGAACUGCAUUAGUGACUGCAUCGCUGGAGUGCGGCAGAGGGGGAUGGAAUUCCGCGUGUAGCAGUGAAAUGCGUAGAUAUGCGGAGGAACACCGAUGGCGAAGGCAAUCCCCUGGGCCUGCACUGACGCUCAUGCACGAAAGCGUGGGGAGCAAACAGGAUUAGAUACCCGAGUAGUCCCUGUCUCUUAUAC
RNAcentral lists this ribosomal RNA (301 nucleotides) under uncultured bacterium. RNAcentral describes it as "partial 16S ribosomal RNA". It matches the Rfam family "Bacterial small subunit ribosomal RNA", at positions 509 to 807 of the family's 1533-position model. The record is from RNAcentral.